GUCCACGCCCUAAACGAUGUCUACUAGUUGUUGGUGGAGUAAAAUCCAUGAGUAACGCAGCUAACGCGUUAAGUAUCCCGCCUGGGGAGUACGGCCGCAAGGUUAAAACUCAAAGGAAUUGACGGGGCCCGCACAAGCGGUGGAGUAUGUGGUUUAAUUCGACGCAACGCGAAGAACCUUACCAGGGCUUGACAUCUGGCGAACGCCUUCGAAAGAAGGAAGUGCCCGCAAGGGAGCGCCAAGACAGGUGGUGCAUGGCUGUCGU
Molecule: ribosomal RNA, 265 nt
Filed under: uncultured bacterium
Lineage: Bacteria
Description: partial 16S ribosomal RNA
Rfam family: Bacterial small subunit ribosomal RNA
Source: RNAcentral